RNAcentral lists this ribosomal RNA (406 nucleotides) under Cardinium endosymbiont of Trialeurodes vaporariorum. RNAcentral describes it as "bacterial SSU rRNA". It matches the Rfam family "Bacterial small subunit ribosomal RNA", at positions 234 to 637 of the family's 1533-position model. The record is from RNAcentral. Lineage: Bacteria; Pseudomonadati; Bacteroidota; Cytophagia; Cytophagales; Amoebophilaceae.
CGUCCUAUUAGCUAGUUGGUGAGGUAAUGGCUCACCAAGGCUACGAUGGGUAGGGGUUCUUAGUGGAGGGUCCCCCNCACUGGCACUGAGAUACGGGCCAGACUCCUACGGGAGGCAGCAGUAGGGAAUAUUGGUCAAUGGGCGCAAGCCUGAACCAGCCAUGCCGCGUGCAGGGUGAAGGCUCUCUGAGUUGUAAACUGCUUUUGUACAGGAGCAAAAAAAUCCCUGCGGGGGUUCUUGAGAGUACUGUAAGAAUAAGCACCGGCUAAUUCCGUGCCAGCAGCCGCGGUAAUACGGGAGGUGCAAGCGUUAUCCGGUUUUAUUGGGUUUAAAGGGUGCGUAGGCGGCUUAUUAAGUCAGUUGUGAAAUCCUAGUGCUUAACGCUAGAACUGCGAUUGAUACUAUU